Long non-coding RNA from Aethina tumida (small hive beetle), 403 nucleotides. RefSeq lists it as uncharacterized. The record is from RefSeq and is a predicted model, not a curated record. Lineage: Eukaryota; Metazoa; Arthropoda; Insecta; Coleoptera; Nitidulidae. The transcript is spliced from 2 exons.
UUUUAAUCAACGUUUCCGUAUAUAUAAGAGCAUUUUCUUUCAGUUGCAUAUCAAUUCAAAUUUAGAUUUUUUAACAAUCUUCAAUAUGAAAAUAUUUGCUGUGACAUUUGUGGCGCUUGUAUUAGUUGCUUCAGUGCACUCAACUUGUAAUGACCCGUGUGAUCCUUUGGCCAAACUUCUUGCAUUUAAACAAAAAUUGAAAGCGCUAUAUUGUAGUGGAUGUGGUGCACUUCCCGCCCCGGUAGCCCCACCAGCUCCAGUAGCCCCACCAGCCCCAGUAGCCCCGGUAGCCCCGGUAACUCCUACAUGUGCUUAUCCAGCUUGUGUACCUAUUGCAUACGUACCGCAAACAUGUUGCCAAUGUUAAUUUGUUUAGUAACAAUCAAUAAAAUAAUUAAUCGUU